AUGCCCACUUCGGCAGCACAUAUACUAAAAUUGGAAUGAUAAGAUAGCAUGGCCCUUGUGCAAGGAUGACAUGCAAAUUCGUGAAGCAUUACAUUUUUUA
This 100-nucleotide small nuclear RNA is filed under the name Rhinolophus ferrumequinum (greater horseshoe bat). Lineage: Eukaryota; Metazoa; Chordata; Mammalia; Chiroptera; Rhinolophidae. The record is from RNAcentral.